GAUGAACGCUAGCGAUAGGCUUAACACAUGCAAGUCGAGGGAACGGCGGAUGGGUGGGUAACGCGUAUGCAACUUGCCUCUUAGUGGGGGGUAACCCGGAGAAAUCCGGACUAAUACAGCAUACUAAGAGAUAGGCAUGGGUUCCAUUAGUUAGGUGGUGAGGUAACGGCUCACCAAGGCAUCGAUGGAUAGGGGAGCGGAGAGGCGGAUCCCCCAGAUUUGGACUGAGACCCAGCCCAAAAUGCGAGGGGAGGCAGCAGUGAGGAAUAUUGGUCAAGGGAGUAAAAUCUGAAACAGCCGAGUAGCGGUAAGGAGGUCGGUCUAUGGAUUGUAAACUUCUUUAGUAGGCGAGUCAGUAUCCUAAGAAUAAGUAUCGGCUAACUCCGUGCCAGCAGCCGCGGUAAUAC
Molecule: ribosomal RNA, 407 nt
Filed under: uncultured bacterium
Lineage: Bacteria
Description: partial 16S ribosomal RNA
Rfam family: Bacterial small subunit ribosomal RNA
Source: RNAcentral